Molecule: ribosomal RNA, 497 nt
Filed under: uncultured bacterium
Lineage: Bacteria
Description: partial 16S ribosomal RNA
Rfam family: Bacterial small subunit ribosomal RNA
Source: RNAcentral
GAUGAACGCUGGCGGCGUGCCUAAUACAUGCAAGUAGAACGCUGAAGGAAGGAGCUUGCUCUUUCCGGAUGAGUUGCGAACGGGUGAGUAACGCGUAGGUAACCUGCCUGGUAGCGGGGGAUAACUAUUGGAAACGAUAGCUAAUACCGCAUAACAGUAGAUGUUGCAUGAUAUCCACUUAAAAGGUGCAAUUGCACCACUACCAGAUGGACCUGCGUUGUAUUAGCUAGUUGGUGAGGUAACGGCUCACCAAGGCGACGAUACAUAGCCGACCUGAGAGGGUGAUCGGCCACACUGGGACUGAGACACGGCCCAGACUCCUACGGGAGGCAGCAGUAGGGAAUCUUCGGCAAUGGACGGAAGUCUGACCGGGCAACGCCGCGUGAGUGAAGAAGGUUUUCGGAUCGUAAAGCUCUGUUGUAAGAGAAGAACGAGUGUGAGAGUGGAAAGUUCACACUGUGACGGUAUCUUACCAGAAAGGGACGGCUAACUACGUG